CAGCCGCCGCGGUAAUACGUAGGGGGCGAGCGUUGUCCGGACUUAUUGGGCGUAAAGCGCGCGCAGGCGGUCCCUUAAGUCUGAUGUGAAAGCCCACGGCUCAACCGUGGAGGGUCAUUGGAAACUGGGGGACUUGAGUGCAGAAGAGGAGAGCGGAAUUCCACGUGUAGCGGUGAAAUGCGUAGGGAUGUGGAGGAACACCAGUGGCGAAGGCGGCUCUCUGGUCUGUAACUGACGCUGAGGCGCGAAAGCGUGGGGAGCAAACAGGAUUAGAUACCCUGGUAGUCCACGCCGUAAACGAUGAGUGCUAAGUGUUAGAGGGGUUAAACCCUUUAGUGCUGUAGCUAACGCGUUAAGCACUCCGCCUGGGGAGUACGGCCGCAAGGCUGAAACUUAAAGGAAUUGGCGGG
RNAcentral lists this ribosomal RNA (410 nucleotides) under uncultured microorganism. RNAcentral describes it as "bacterial SSU rRNA". It matches the Rfam family "Bacterial small subunit ribosomal RNA", at positions 509 to 917 of the family's 1533-position model. The record is from RNAcentral.